Long non-coding RNA from Lathyrus oleraceus (garden pea), 1689 nucleotides. RefSeq lists it as uncharacterized. Lineage: Eukaryota; Viridiplantae; Streptophyta; Magnoliopsida; Fabales; Fabaceae. The transcript is spliced from 3 exons. The record is from RefSeq and is a predicted model, not a curated record.
UAGUCGCCAUUGUUGUUAAUGUUUAUAUUUUUAUGUUGAUGUUGAAUGUUUUAUGUUUAUGUUGUUGAUAUUGAAUAUUUUUUAUUGUUGUUCUUCUUGAAUAUUUAUGUUGUUGUUAUUGUUGUUGUUGUUGAAUGUGUAUGAGCAUAUUUGUUUGGUUAAGAUUGAAUAAAUCUUUUGUUAUUGUUGUUGUUGUUUAUGUUAUUAUUGUUGAAUUAAUGUGUAUUAGACACAUUUGUUAUGGAUUUGUUGUUGUUUAUGUUAUUGUUGUUGAAUGUGUAUGUGACACAUUUGUUAUGUUGUUGUUGUUGUUGAAUGUGUAUGGUCACAUUUGUUUGGUUAAGAGAUUGAGUUAAUCUUUUAUUGUUGUUUUUGAAGAUAGAUGGCUUAUUCUUCAUCUAUUAGCGACGAAAUUUAUAUAAAUGAAACUCAUACAAAUGAUUCUCAAACUAUAGACGGAAAAUAGAAAAGAAAACAGAGAGGUGCCACAAUAAUGACAAAAUUAACAAAAUUCUGCAACUCGGAUAUCAAAUUUUCUAUCGAGUUUAAUGUCAUAUAUUUCACAUUAAUGGUACUACUUAUUUUCUUUUUAAGAGUUAUGUUGAAUUCCUUGGACAUAGCAAAGUCAGUCUAUUGAUAGAUGAUUGGAAAAAAGCACAAAAACGUGAAAUAUAGCAUAUAGAUAGACGUUAUGGUAUUAAUUUUAAUAUUCAUCAAUUCGAUAUUAAUUUCUAUAAUUACUAAUACAUACUUAUUGAUGUAAAUGUAUUGAACUUUGAGUUUUUCAAUGAUGAUAAAUUGAAAAAAAAUGGACAACUUAUGUUGGUACAUGCUGGAGGGACUUUAAGUCACGGCUCACGCGUGACUACAGAGAUCCUAAGCCUCCUGAUCUUAAGCAUUUGCGGGUACAACGGCUAAAAUAACCAGGAUAAAUUGAGGCUCGGCUGUGUGUCCCAACACGCGUUUGUAUGACGUGAGGGGGCCAGGGCCAUACUCACAAGGCCAAAAGUCUAUGCUACCUCGUUUGAUAGUUUACAAGGUCGAGGUUCACAACCAUCUGCUUUUAUUUCCCGAAGUCUCAUGUCUCGGGCAUCUUCUUCACGGGGCCACGUGUCCCCUGCUUAUGAAUCCCCUAAAGCUCCUGAAGCCCCAUAAAGCUUAUAAAGCCAAUCAGGGGGAAUCCGUUGUUGAUGUGGAUUCCACUGUAGAUGGUUAUCCAAGAGGCCCAUUUGACACCCUCUUACUUCGUCUCCAUGAAUAACAUGUUGUUAGGCAUGUCUAGGAAAGAGAGGAGUGUCCAUGUUUAAAAUCCGUAAACCACGGAAAGAAGAUUCUAAAAUUGGAACAGACCGAACAUGAUUGGUUCAAAGAUGAUUUUUGCUACUUUAGGCUUGCCUAUUUAUGUGUUAUUGCGUACAAGACCAUAACCCACGGCAUGCAGGCGACAUUUAUAGAGAAAUGGCAUUUAGAAACGUCAUUUUUUCACCUUUCUAUUGGUGAGAUGACCAUCACCAUGGAUUACGUCUCAUGCCCCUUACGUUGAUGUGGUAUAUCUUAAAUAUUUCAUCGACUAAAAGAAGAUUCACGAGAACAACUGAGGACCGUCUGUUUAGUCUACCUGUACACGAAAUUUGGCGAAACAUGUAUUUGGAAGACAAAGAAAUUAACAGGAUGUUGCAUGUUGUUUAU